UGUUAGGGAAGUCAUCCUCUUAUCCAGUGUCUUUCUGUCAGGUGCCUCUAUGUGGCAAGCAUUGUUCCAGGAGAGAUGAAUAGUCACUGCAGAGGAGAGACUAUGGUCAGGAUUCAGAUGGUCAGUUAAGCCCAAGGCAUUGUGGGAGCGUCGAGGGGGUGGGGCAGGGAGUGUGCUGAGGUGGAUUUAUCAGAUUGUAUAGGGCUUGGCCUAGAAGAGGUUAGGAUAGAUCUAAGCCAUCCUGAAUGCAGCAGUAGUUAAGGGACUGGCAGUUUAGAGAGUCACACAUUGCUAGAGGGAAUUCAAGAGUCCAGGCAAGGAUAAGAAUCUAGGGGUUUCUAGGAGAAGGAGGAGUAAGGGAACAUCAACCGACUCAUCACAUUGGAUGAGAGAGGGCAAGGGUGGGCAGGGAGAGGGAGAGAGAGUAUAAAUGUGUGUUAUGAUGCCAUGGCAGAAGCCCGAGGAAGAGACACAGCCAAGACUCGAGAAGGCUAAAGCACAUGACUCAGUAUCCACAGCCUUUCUUCCAUCAAUGACUCAGUCUCUGAGAAACCCUUAAAGGCCUUCUUAAAGAUACCUUCUGUGUAUCACUGGCAGCCAGGAAAGAAGAUAAAGUGACCUUCACCUCAAGAGGAGUCAUAGAACCUUCUUAGUCACAUCAAGCAGAAGAGACGACUUCCUGAUGAGCAUGCGGCUACGUCUUUCACAGGUUUGUUCCAAGUGUCCAGGAUUUUUUUAACAUGUGAGUCAUAUAGUUUAUAGAACGUGCCCUUCCAAAGAUGACAGGACUUAUUCCAUGCACUACUAUCAAACUCCUGGCACUCCUCUGGCCACCAAAGUUGCUCUUCUCUAUCUUACAGUCCAUAUUUCUAUUCACUUUUCCAGUGAGUCAAGAAACACCUGCAGUUUUAGCAGUAGACUCAGUCAGCCAAAUUUAAAUCAAGCUGACUUGAAUCAUUUAAAUCAUCAGUCAAGAAAAACUGCUAUCUUUUAAAAUUAAAGAACGCAUGCUCAUUUUUGCCACAAUGGCGAUCAACUUCAUAAAACUCACAGGUGGAUUAUUAUUUAAGGAUAGGGAGAGGAGAUCUC
This is a long non-coding RNA of Peromyscus leucopus (white-footed mouse), 1089 nucleotides long. RefSeq lists it as uncharacterized. The record is from RefSeq and is a predicted model, not a curated record. Lineage: Eukaryota; Metazoa; Chordata; Mammalia; Rodentia; Cricetidae. The transcript has 3 exons.